GGCUGCAACUCGCCUGCAUGAAGUCGGAAUUGCUAGUAAUCGCAGAUCAGCAUGCUGCGGUGAAUACGUUCCCGGGCCUUGUACACACCGCCCGUCACACCAUGGGAGUCGGUAACACCCAAAGUUGGUAGCCUAACCGCAAGGAGGGCGCCGCCUAAGGUGGGAUUGAUGACUGGGGUGAAGUCGUAACAAGGUACC
This 198-nucleotide ribosomal RNA is filed under the name uncultured bacterium. RNAcentral describes it as "partial 16S ribosomal RNA". It matches the Rfam family "Bacterial small subunit ribosomal RNA", at positions 1303 to 1500 of the family's 1533-position model. The record is from RNAcentral.